GCCCGCCUAGCUCAAUCGGCCAGAGCGUCAGACUUUUAAGUGAAUGUAUAUUCGACAAACUUAAAUCUGAAGGCUGCGAGUUCGACCCUCGCGGUGGGCU
This is a transfer RNA of Termitomyces sp. J132, 100 nucleotides long. It matches the Rfam family "tRNA". Rfam says of the family: Transfer RNA (tRNA) molecules are approximately 80 nucleotides in length. Lineage: Eukaryota; Fungi; Basidiomycota; Agaricomycetes; Agaricales; Lyophyllaceae. The record is from Rfam.